Molecule: long non-coding RNA, 1340 nt
Organism: Manduca sexta (tobacco hornworm)
Lineage: Eukaryota; Metazoa; Arthropoda; Insecta; Lepidoptera; Sphingidae
Exons: 2
Source: RefSeq, a predicted model, not a curated record
AUUGAUCACUUGGAACUGCGUUUUAAUUAAAAAUUAACUUGUUAAUCACUCCAAUACACGUGUCCGUGGCGGGAAUUCAAUUAAAAAUAAUUUCAUGCGCCGUCUUGAAUGCAAGACACCCACGUCACCAGAAGAACUAAGGAUUCGUCGCCAACCGCCCAGGAAUAGAAAUAGGUAAAAGCAGGGUGGUGUUUUAUCCUGCAAAUAUAGGUACUCACUUACGUAAAUGUGGGGAAGUAUUAAGAUAUAAUAUAACAUGGUUUAGAACGAAAAUCACCUAAUGUUAUGUAAGUAGGUACAUAAUAUUAGACUGCUCUUGGGCUAGCCGAGGUCUGUGCCCCGGGCGACGAAUACAGAGGGCGGCAAAUUCAAACUUGGUAGACGAAUACAUAACUUAUCAUUAAUGCAACUUUGACUACGGAGACAUACAGUGCAUUCAACACUAAAAGUAUUUCCCGCGGAGCGCAAAAUGAUGUUGAAGAUGACAAAGGUGAAAAUAUUGGUGGGUGGGGGCGGCAUUUUCCAGAUUUUGCCCCACCUCGAAAAAAUUCAAGAUCCGGUGCUGCUGGCUUACCCCCCCUAGACCCGGGGCUGGAGGCUUGCUAAUCUUAUACUUUUAACUAUAUUUAUUUCCGAUCCCAUGAUCGGUUUUAGAUCGAAAGUUCCCAAGAUUUUGUCAGCAGAGGUUUUUUAUAAUAAAACGUACUUAGAAAGAAUUUUUGUAAUAAGCCGUGUAAGUUUAAGAAUUUUUAUGCCGGAUAGCUUUAGGCAGGUACGAUGAGAUAGGUACCUAAUAAGCCGGCGAGGCUUGAUGGCCUCUUCUCUGAUCAAUAAGGUGAUCCUCACCACGCAUAAACUGUGCUCUACCCUUAGAGCUCUAUCGUUAUGAUGAGGAAUGUAAUCGUGAUUGGAUGAAAGUUAAAUGAGUCUCUAAAAUAUCGAUACCGGAAAUUUCAAUUGUCGUAAGGGACAAACCAUCACUUUUCAGGAGAGCCAAAAAACAUAUUUUUUUGUCUUAAAUUCGUUGUAACUUUUUCAUUUGUAAUCGGAUUUUAAAGGUGUCUAGGGACCACUGAUCUAUUUUUUUGUGCUCUUUCUAUUAGCUUUAUCCAAAUUAACGUAGGUCCACUAUUUUCAAAGAUAGAUGUCCCUUACAUCCCACCAAAAAUGAAUAAAACGCCUAUACACCCUUAGCUUAGUAAGGUUGCAUAGGUUGUAAAGGACAUUUCUACACAAAUUAAACGAGCGUUUUAGGUAAUAAAUGUCACAUUACCUCAAUGUGAAGGGUAAUAGAAGGUCCAAACUUAUAAAAUUUUAAGAAAUAAAACCCUUACUACAUU